CCUACGGGGUGCAGCAGUGAGGAAUAUUGGUCAAUGGACGCAAGUCUGAACCAGCCAUGCCGCGUGCAGGAAGACGGCUCUAUGAGUUGUAAACUGCUUUUGUACGAGGGUAAACGCAGAUACGCGUAUCUGUCUGAAAGUAUCGUACGACUAAGGAUCGGCUAACUCCGUGCCAGCAGCCGCGGUAAUACGGAGGAUUCAAGCGUUAUCCGGAUUUAUUGGGUUUAAAGGGUGCGUAGGCGGGCGGAUAAGUUAGAGGUGAAAUCCCGAGGCUCAACUUCGGAAUUGCCUCUGAUACUGUUCGGCGAGAGAGUAGUUGCGGUAGGCGGAAUGUAUGGUGUAGCGGUGAAAUGCUUAGAGAUCAUACAGAACACCGAUUGCGAAGGCAGCUUACCAAGCUACUUCUGACGUUGAGGCACGAAAGCGUGGGGAGCAAACAGGAUUAGAUACCCUUGUAGUC
This 460-nucleotide ribosomal RNA is filed under the name uncultured bacterium. RNAcentral describes it as "partial 16S ribosomal RNA". It matches the Rfam family "Bacterial small subunit ribosomal RNA", at positions 338 to 795 of the family's 1533-position model. The record is from RNAcentral.